RNAcentral lists this ribosomal RNA (480 nucleotides) under uncultured bacterium. RNAcentral's name for it is "partial 16S ribosomal RNA". It matches the Rfam family "Bacterial small subunit ribosomal RNA", at positions 28 to 523 of the family's 1533-position model. The record is from RNAcentral.
AAUGAACGUUGGCGGCGUGGAUUAGGCAUGCAGGUCGUGCGAUAACCCCGCAAGGGGGGAAAGCGGCGAAAGGGAGAGUAACGCGUGGGUACCUGCCCCUUGGUCCGGAAUAGCUGCGGGAAACUGCAGGUAAUGCCGGAUAAUAUCCUCGGAUCAAAGGUGUGAUUCCGCCGAGGGAGGGGCCCGCGUUCUAUUAGCUAGUUGGUAGGGUAAUGGCCUACCAAGGCGACGAUGGAUACCGGGUGUGAGAGCAUGACCCGGCUCACUGGGACUGAGACACUGCCCAGACACCUACGGGUGGCUGCAGUCGAGAAUCUUCGGCAAUGGGCGCAAGCCUGACCGAGCGACGCCGCGUGCGGGAUGAAGGCCUUCGGGUUGUAAACCGCUGUCGUAGAGGAGGAAAUGCCAUGGGGUUCUCUCCAUGGUUUGACCUAUUCUAGGAGGAAGGACGGGCUAAGUUCGUGCCAGCCGCCGCCGUAA